GAUUAUGGCUCAGGAUGAACGCUGGCGGCGUGCCUAAUACAUGCAAGUCGUACGAGGUUAAUCCAGCUUGCUGGAGAGACCUAGUGGCGAACGGGUGAGUAAUACGUAAGUAACCUGCCAGCAAGGACUGGGAUAACACCUGGAAACGGGCGCUAAUACCGGAUAGGUAACAGAGGGGCAUCCACUGUUAUUAAAGGUUAAAGACACAAGCAGAUGGGCUUACGGUGCAUUAGCUAGUUGGUGAGGUAACGGCCCACCAAGGCGAUGAUGCAUAGCCGGCCUGAGAGGGUGAACGGCCACAUUGGGACUGAGACACGGCCCAGACUCCUACGGGAGGCAGCAGUAGGGAAUUUUCGGCAAUGGGCGCAAGCCUGACCGAGCAACGCCGCGUGAGUGAAGAAGAAUUUCGGUUCGUAAAGCUCUGUUGUAAGGGAAGAAUAACACGGAGAGAAUCCGUGCAUGACGGUACCUUACCAGAAAGCCACGGCUAACUACGUGCCAGCAGCCGC
RNAcentral lists this ribosomal RNA (509 nucleotides) under uncultured bacterium. RNAcentral's name for it is "bacterial SSU rRNA". It matches the Rfam family "Bacterial small subunit ribosomal RNA", at positions 15 to 518 of the family's 1533-position model. The record is from RNAcentral.